GUCCUCGAGUAAAGGUUAAAAAUGAGUGAUCAAUGGUUUCUAACUUAAGAUAGUAGUGAGCAUAAAAUGCUAGUUCGAACAUAGUUCAUCCAAAUGGGUUUUUGUGUAAGUGUCUAGCAUAUAUCCUUCAGAGGUUGAGAAAAGGAACAACUCUCAGAACAAGAUCAAAUUCCAAUUUCAUAUUCUUGGUACUUAGAGUUUUUAUGACACUUUUUAAAAUAAGUCACAUAGUUCAAUCCUACUCCUCAUUUAGCGCUCUAGAUCACUCAAAGUUUUUUUUUAGUAGUCCUCACCAAGGCAUGAAUGCCAACUUGUUUCAUCCUAUAACUAUAGGCUUAUAUGGGGCUUGGUAGGGAUAAACAAGGUAGCAUACUCUACUUUGCAAAUAUUGUUAAGUCAAAAACAAGGAUCCAAAGAGAGGAGUGUCAUAGUCAUAGAUCAAGAUGUGCAAGUGUGUUAUAUGGUGGACUAGGUUGCUCCUUUAUUUGCUACACUCUCUCUACUUGUAUAUUGAGACAUGGCUAGAUUUUCUUUUUCUUCGAGCUUUAUGUGCUCAAUUUUUUUUUAUACUUCAUGGACUUGCACAUGUCCAUUUUUUUCUUUUUCUUUUAUUUUGCUAAGCCUUUUAUGUCUCAUUUUCUAAACAAUAUUUAGAGAGGUGUUCUAACACUUAGAGUAUGGAGCAACCUAUUUAGUGGAUGCACAAUACAUGUGGUUGCGUACUUCCAGUGUAGAAGCAGCAUAUAUAUAUGUGGUGUGUACGUGAUCUUGAUCUUGUGACUAUGAUACAACUCUCACUAGGGUCAACAAGGUUUUGACAAAACUCAUAACAAAAGCAGGUUGCAUUUCAUAAAAUAGUUACUUGAAUAUCUAAGUGUAUGGCUUUUGGUGGGAAUUUCUUGCUAAUGAGGAGUAAAUGAUACUAUGGUUUUGUGAUAUUUUUGAAACAAAUCUCUAAGUACCUUGAAUAGAAAUGUUAUGAAUUCUUAGCCAAGAGUUAUAUCACUUUCAUCAACAACUUAGUUAAUAUGGUUCCUAUAGAUUUUUACCCAUGAGGAUGAACAAUUGUAAGAACUAUACUUUAUGUCACAAUUUCUCUUAAAUCAUGAACCAGUUCACUUUUUAUUUUGCAAACAAGUUUAAACUAUCAAAUUUUAUUUUAAUUGUGACACAAAGGUAAAGAAUUGGACAGACUGAGAGGGGGAAGAGUUAGCAAACCGGGCAGGAAAGAUGUGUUUCGUCGUAUAGAAGCUUCCUGGUGGGCCCAGGGCUCUAUGGAGGGGUCGGCCGACCCCACCUGGAGGUUCCUGGCCCUGCCACUCGAUUCUACGUCCCUCGGGAAGUCUUUCUGCACUUGUGUCGUUUCCUUUUGCCAUAGAAAGGGGGUCGGGCGACCCCCUCAUCGCGCCUGUUUUUGGUGCCAUGACGUGCCAAGGUGUAUGCAGUGUUGUUCCAUGCUCACGGCAGUUCAGAGAUGAAGUUGGGGGGGUCGGGCGACCCCCCCACACUUGCAGUUUUCGUGCAGCUGAACUUAAAACAGAGAGAGACGAUCAAAUGUAGAUGUCCUGCUGGUGGCAACACACCAGCAGGACCAAAAACGACUCCAUUAAAUCAAAUUUCAAUUGUAUAGGCACUUUUACAUUGCGAAAUUCAAAGUGACAAAUUGAAAAAUAAAAUUGAGUAAUCAAACCUAAAUAAUCAAAUAGUGCCUAUAACCUAAACUAACUAAUUUAUUUAGGGAGAUGGAGGUUUGAGGUGAUCCUCCCGCCCAAUUGCUUGCGCCAAACGCUUGAUUUUAGCGCUGGUGCUAAUGCGCAGGUGGUGGAAGUGAUCUUCUAACUCAAGAUUCUCCAUCCUGAGCUCCGACACUGUCUCCUCUAAGAUCCUAUUUUUCUUUCUAAGGCUAGCUGUGACUUCCAGGAGCUUCUCGAUGUCGCCUUUUUCUGGAUCUUCUUCGUAUUCGCCAGGCGCACCGUUGAUCGGAGGUGGAUCCAUCUUCCGCCGGAUGGAUGGACUUGCUGACGAGUCAAAGGACUCUCGCAACUCCAUCUUUUCCUUAG
Molecule: long non-coding RNA, 2060 nt
Filed under: Sorghum bicolor (sorghum)
Lineage: Eukaryota; Viridiplantae; Streptophyta; Magnoliopsida; Poales; Poaceae
Description: long non-coding RNA (SBIC_LNC017434)
Source: RNAcentral